CAAACGGCUCUUUAGAGCCACACACACACACACACACACACAC
Gasterosteus aculeatus (three-spined stickleback) is the source of this 43-nucleotide non-coding RNA. Lineage: Eukaryota; Metazoa; Chordata; Actinopteri; Perciformes; Gasterosteidae. The record is from Rfam.